This 3493-nucleotide long non-coding RNA is filed under the name Oreochromis niloticus (Nile tilapia). RNAcentral describes it as "lncRNA (ENSONIG00000034849.1)". Lineage: Eukaryota; Metazoa; Chordata; Actinopteri; Cichliformes; Cichlidae. The record is from RNAcentral.
AUGCACAUAACGUCUGCUGACAACAAACCUGACCUCCUGAGGAAUCUGGUGCCUUUCUUCCCCCCUCCUUACAUCUCAGAGAACUGCAACAAUCAGGUAAACAUGAAGCCCAAGUCUCUUCCAUCCAGGCUGUUUCAGAGAGAUUCACCUGCAACAGCAUCAGGCGAGAGUCCCAGCAGAAGUGCAGCAAAGUACGAGCGGCAUGUGGACUGCGUUGAUCACCCAGAGAUGCUGGAUCCAUCUUUGUCCAACGACGGGCAGCAAACAGGUGACAGCAGCAGGCAACACGAGAAGUGCCACCGAGAAACACUUUUUGCCUUCCUGCCAGAGAGGUACGAGCUGCUGGUGGAUGAUGAGGCGAAAGCCAAGGCAAAAGAAGAGAAGAAGAAAAAGAAGAAAGAAAACUACAAAAAAGUCAAGAAGAACGUUGGCAAGGCACUGCGCUCCACAUGGAAGUGUUUGAUGCUUGGUCUCUACAGCUUUGCUCUCGGAUACUCCACUCCCAUCACGGUGGCUGCUACUUUUGUCCCUGACUUUCACCCGAGCAGGAACAGGACCUGAGUCGAGCUCUGUCGAUCUCCUCCACUUUGUUUUCAUACUUAGCUGUAUAUACCAGUAACUCGCAGACUCUUACCAAAGACUUUUAAAAUGUGAAUAAUGACUGUGCAAUUCAGAUUACAUUUUCAAAUUCCAUACUUUUGCAGAUCUUACAAGAUCUGAUGGUCAUAUUUGCAGAAAUAUGCAAGAUCAUAAAAUCUUAUUAAGUAUUCGGUUAAAUACUGAAAAUACUUAUGUGUCUUUUUUGGUUGGACUUGUUUUUAAAUCAAGUGUCUGCAUGUGUUCAAAGGGAUUAUGUGGGCAUGUGGAAACUAUAGCAGGGCAGCAAUAACAGGAAUAUUCACCGUAGCUGCAGGCGAGGUGAGUCAGGGCAGAGACCUCUUUAAGGGAUUUGCAAGCAGGACAGACUUAACGAGGAAGCGAUUAUCAGUAAAAUACUGGAAAAGCAAGUAAACAGAAAGGAACUGGCCCAGUCCUUUUCUGGGUGGCACAACGUAGGUGCUUUUUAGUGUACAAAUUCUGCUGUGAAACAAGGACAUUAACUAAAACGGAACAGUAAAUAUUAAAUAAGUAUUUUGUAAACUAGCAGUAAUAGUUUUAAUAGUUAAAAUUUUUGCAAAUUUGUGAGCACAAGUAUGAGGAGGUUUUUCAUUUAGUUUUUUUUGGUGGGUGGUGGGGGUCUACAUGACUUUUACGGUCAAAAGCCUUUACAAAAACAGAAACUAAAGCUAACUAAAUAAGAUACAUUUUUUAAAAAAAAAAACUAAAAUAAAAAAAACAAAUUAAAUAAACUAAUAUAAAUUAAAAAACAAACAAAAAUAUAAUUCUGCUGCCCAAGAUUUAAAGAAUUCUCUGCUUAGAACAAAAUAUUCCGACUUUUAAGAUAUUUUUAAAGAUGUGUGUCGAUUUGAUCAUUUGUAAAUUAAUAAUUAUUCAUGAUGUUUGUAUGUUUGGUUGAAAUAAAGCAUUACUAGGAAUGCAUCUGAAGAGAAAUUGACGUUUUUAUUAUUAUUACUACUAAUAUUAGAGUGAAAUCAGUUAAAUCAGUUAAUAUGGAUUGUUUUCAACAUGUAAAUGUUGACUUCAUUUAAUAAAUUCUAAUUAUUCAGGUCCUAUAGCUUUUGAAACAUCAGCUGCUGCACAUUUUUGAGAUGAGCAACGUUCAGGUAAAGUGGGCCAUGUAAAGGAAACCAGUUAUUGCUGAUAAAACAAUUUAACAGCAAAUCAAUCAGCUUUAAUUUGAACUCAUUUUAAGAAACAUAACACAUCAACGUGUUGAUUUAAUAAUUCAUGAAUUGUUCUAUUUUCAAAAAGACAAAUUCUUAGAGACUUUACAGAAGAAUCCACCAUCAGCACAGAUGCCAUUUUCUUCUCCACAAGUCUCAUGGACUCAGGCGCUGCAAUUCCCACAGCUGAUCCACUCCUCAGUGGCCUCUGGGUCACUUUUGUCUCAAUAGACUGCAUUACAUGCUUUGAAGGGCAUGUCAUUCUUCUUUGUGCCUUUGCUUCUUCUGGUCUUUUCUUUCUUUUUAGAUUUCAGUGCCUUGGUGGAAAUGUAGUCUACAUGUUCAUCGCUUGUGAGGAAAAAUGAUGGAGGCUUAGCUCUCUUCCUGACAGUCCUCUGUCAUUUUGGCAGGGGACACAGAUCACUGAAUGUAACACAAGUUAAGGUGUGAACAGGUUAAAGACCAUCUCUUCCUCAGGAACACAUUCAAAGUUGACUGUUAUUUCUUUAGAUCCUACCACCUCUGCAUCCAAGAAUGUAAAGAUUAGGGGCACCUCGGAUACCACUGCAGGGUGAUGAAUGGGGCUGAGGGAUUCUAAGGUCAGCUGGGCAGUGGCUAGUGGUGUCUGAGUUUUGCCUGGUGGUGCUUGUGGUUUCUGGGGUUUGCUGAAAAGGGAAGGGGAAGUAAGUGGAAGGGGUCUCUCAGUUGUUUUACUGGGAGGAAAGCACUUUUUGGAGGAUGUGUAUUUUUAAAGGGAACAUUCCUGUCCCUCUGAACCCUUUUUUAACAGUGGCAGCCUUUCUGUAUGCUGGGCAGAAAACUGAGAAAAACUCAGACGUUGGUAGCUUUUGUCCUGCCAUUAGUCUGGUCCACUUUCUUCCCUCUUUGUACCAGUGGUGCUUCAGGCGUCGGAACAGGGCCUUGUCUACAGGCUGAAGAGCACAAAUGGCGUGUGGAGGGUAACACAGAAUGUGGACAUUUUUUCUCCUCAUUAAAUUGAUAAAGUCCAUUAGUAGCAAGAUGGGUCUGGCGUCAUCCUGAGGUAAUGACUGAACAAACAACUGACCCCAUUCCAAGAAGAGAUCAGCAUUUAUCCAGCUAUUAUCUAAGACCCGAACAGUAACAUUCUCAGGGCAAUGUUGGAGCCACUCACAUCGUAGUCGUUUCCCUUUGAAGAUAAUCAUGGUUUAACUGAAAACGCCUUCCACAUUGAAGGCUGUUAAGCAAGCAAGUGGUAGUUUCACCUUUCUCACCUGCACAGACCUCCACACAUGGUUGCCCAACCACUCCAAGCACCUUGGUUGAGGAGAACUGGUCUUGGAGACCCGACUCAUCACAGUGCCAUACAUGGGAAGGUAGGCCCUCAAGGCCGAGAGUGCAGAGCAGGUUUCCCAUCCUUUUCUUCUGUCUCUCUUCUUGUUGCCUCCUCUCCUUUUAUUUCCCUCCCUUCCUCCUCCUGUCUUCUCCUGUAAGCUUCUUCCUGUCCCUCUUCUCUCCUUGAUGUUCUUUUCUGUUUGCCAUAGUCUACUCUGGGAAAAUCAGAAUUUCAUGUUACUUGAUAUAUAUACUACUAUCACUGCGACAUGGAAUCAUGGCUAGUUCAUCUCUUCCUCUGUGUGUGUGUGUGUGUGUGUGUGCAUUUAAGUGUGCAUUGCUCACAAUGCAUACUACAUCAAGGCUAAAGCACCCACAAACUUCGGAUCUGCACA